UUGCUGUGAUGUAUGAAUUUCUUCACCUGAAAUCAAAGUGAAGAUCAAAUUAUACGAGCUUUUUAACCCUGAGUGAU
This 77-nucleotide small nucleolar RNA is filed under the name Alligator mississippiensis (American alligator). The record is from RNAcentral. Lineage: Eukaryota; Metazoa; Chordata; Crocodylia; Alligatoridae.